UCAAGUUUUAAAGUUAAAUUUACUUCUUCUUCCAUACUUUCAUCUUUUGUAUCCUCUGCAGCUACUACAACUUCAGCAUGAUCUAAUGUUAAAAAUACAGGUUUAUUGAUAAAUAAUUAGUUAAAAUUUAAACCGUCAUAAAAAAUGUAAAUUCAACAAACACAGAUUGUAACACCACGUAUUAUCUCAUAUUAAGUAAAUGGUGAAUAAACAUGGAUUAUAUAUAUAAAACAGAACUAUGGGUAAUUCGUAAAAUUAUAGGUUAGGUUAGGAGUGAAUAACAUUCACUACAAGACAAUAGCGUUCUCGGCACUAGUUCGCGCCCUCGAUUUGUAAAAAUCGAUAUGAGGUCACGGUAAGAGGAAAUUUUUGUUAUAUAUAUAUGUAGACUAAAUGGAAACAAAUAAAACUUAAAAUCGUGAUAAGUAAAAAAUACUUAGUACAAUGAUAGCUAUCAUACCAACGAAUCAAAAUUGGAUAUCGAAAAGUUCUAAAUAACAAAGUUCCUGUUAGAACUCACCGAACAUUGUGCUCACAUGGACCAGCACGGUAGAGAAUUGAAACAGCGAUCGAAAAUUUAACUGCGUUUAAGCACAAUUAAAUGACUUGUCAUCAUAGCUCCUGUAAGCAUAUUUAACGUACCCUGUGUCGAAUAUUUAAAAAAUAUUUAAUAAUGUUCAGGUGAGCCUAUUCUAAAGAUAAAACGAAAGAAACGAAGAAGAACUAAGAAGGACUUACCUGACCGUUAUUGACCGAAAGUUAUAAUGCAGAAACCCUAAGCAUCAUGGAUAUUAAUGAUAUCAUUGGUAGAGAUUCUACUUUAGAAAGUGAAAUUACGACUCUUUCUCGGAUAAUCAUAGAAUCAAAGACGGAUGCAAAUCAAUAAACCAUAACACAGAAAAAUCUGAAAUGUAAGAGGAAGAUGUGAUCAGAACCAAAGAAAAGUUACUAUAGCUGAGAAAAAUAAUCCUAAUGACAUAAAAUCGUUUUAAAAAAUCUGAGAAUGAUUGUUACGUCAAAGAAAUAGAGAAAUGGUAGAAUGAAAUAUUAAUGUGGAGUAAUCAAGCAGAAACAACUCUCAGUUCAAUAAUGAAAAUGUGUUAUAAGGAAAUGUGUAAUUCUAGAAACAAAAAAUUGUGAAUCUAAUGUAUUAUAUGUAAUAAUAUAUAAAUAAGCUUUAUGACUA
Bombus terrestris (buff-tailed bumblebee) is the source of this 1186-nucleotide long non-coding RNA. RefSeq lists it as uncharacterized. The record is from RefSeq and is a predicted model, not a curated record. The transcript has 2 exons. NCBI's taxonomy places the organism in Eukaryota, Metazoa, Arthropoda, Insecta, Hymenoptera, Apidae.